Long non-coding RNA from Chinchilla lanigera (long-tailed chinchilla), 1871 nucleotides. RefSeq lists it as uncharacterized. NCBI's taxonomy places the organism in Eukaryota, Metazoa, Chordata, Mammalia, Rodentia, Chinchillidae. The transcript is spliced from 4 exons. The record is from RefSeq and is a predicted model, not a curated record.
GUGUGUGUGUGUGUGUGUGUGUGCGCGCGCGGGGGGCUCUUUCAGGCGGACUCUACCUGCGAAGCCGAGAGGAAUUCUACCGGUGCACCAUGUCCUCCCCUUCCAGACGAAGUGAGCAGCGUCCUUCCGUCUGCUGCCAGCCUCCUAGAGCUGAGGGCGAGAAUUCUGAAGGCCAGAAAUGGAGUCUGAGCAAUGCCCAUGACCCAGAGGAAGUUAGAUGACGGCCUAGAGCAAGAUGGUUCCAAGACCUGGGUCCAGCAUGGACAGGCGCUGUGGCAAGUGGGCUUCCAGAUGUCAUUCCCAGUGAGGAGCAUGCCAGCAGAAGGCCUUUCAAUGACCAAGGUAUCCUGUGAGUUCCUGGUGUGAACACAGGCAGCUGUUUGCACCGCCUCCACAUCAAAGGAAGCUAGCAAUCCGGCCCCAGACAGUGAGACAGACCCAGAAAGACAUGUGCCCCAGCAACCCCACUGCCAAUGACCCUGGCAAAUGCCAACCUGCAGGACCUGCCACCGAGUCCCUCCAUCACAUAGGCCAGCUAAGCUUCUCCCCAAACUGCCCUGCGGGGUCUUUCCUCCAGCCUCAAUCUGUGAUCUCCCCAAAUCUGUCUGAGGGCCAGAGCUUCCCCGUGUUUGGAAAUGUUUAAAUUAGGUGCAAUAAUCGAUUCUGCCUCUAAGAUACCACCAAAGGGGAAAGAAGUAGGCAAGGUGGGGCAGACCUCUCAAACAAGACAGAAGAGACUGUCAUGCCUACUACAUGUUUAAAACAAUUUUUAUUUAUUUAACAGUACUGGGGAUGGAACCCAGGGCCUCACACAUGCUAGGCAAGCACUCUGCAACUGAGCUACACCCUCAACCCUGCCUGUCAUGUGUAAAGGAGGUAGUUUCCUUAGCAGAAGUAAGAAAAUUUUAAAAUAGUAUGGAUUUUUUUUUGAAGAGGGAGAAUAUUAUGGAUUCUUGGGAGAAAAGCAGUAGUGAAAAUACCAUCUAUUUUCUUUAUCUCUUGAGAGUUUGUGAGAUAUUUCUUUUCUGUUUUUUUUUUUUUUCUUCUCACAAAAUAUUUACCCAGUUGAGAAAUAUAUGAUGUAAAAAUGAAAGGAAAACCCCUUCCCAGCAUGUCUGCUUCCAGCUCCAUCUUAAUUUGUCCUGCUCUCCAAGGGGCGAGUCUGCACCCUGACAUUGUUCCUUGGUGUCCCCAGGGCCCUUGCACGUGCCCUUUCCUUAGGAGCUCCAGUUGUCCUUUAUCUCUCCCCACUCUCCUUCCCUCACCCCCAAACCACCCUAGCUAAUUCUGCAUCCUUCAAGUGGCCCCCCAAACGUGUCCCUGGAUGUCCCUCAAAAUCUUGCCUCCUGUCUUCCCUCCUCCAUCUGCCUGUCAUUCCCACCUUGGAAGCCCCAGGAGGAAGAUGGACUAUGCCUGCCUUGUGCCCCAUGUUUCCUGUGGCUCCUAGAAAGUUCUUGAAAAGGUUGGCUGAGUGAAUAAGUGAAUGGACAACUCCCUAUAGGGUUAUCUCUGUUACUUAUUCAUUGCACUUCAUCCCGGGCAACUUUCUGCACAUACCAGGGAGCCUUCAGUAACACUGAAUAAGACCAUCCUCUGUACUUGUGACAUUACUGCCUGGGGUAAUAUUAGUAACUGCACUUUGCUGGUGGUCAGGCCCUGGGCCCAGUGCUCCAUGCACUGAUCCUGAUUAACUCUGUCUUUCACUUUAAUGGGGCAAAGUGGAAGCUUUGAGAAAUAGCAUAAAAAAAUUACUAGGUUUCACCAUAGAAAUGCAAGUGACAAAGUACAGACAGGAUCAUUUUCUCUGAUCCAGUAUUAACUCAAAGUCAAGGUAAUGUAGUUUUGUGUGCGCACGUGUGUGUGUGUGUGUG